Pelobates cultripes (western spadefoot toad) is the source of this 224-nucleotide non-coding RNA. Lineage: Eukaryota; Metazoa; Chordata; Amphibia; Anura; Pelobatidae. The record is from the annotation of a GenBank genome assembly.
UGUAUCCUCUUUUAUUCUCUCACUCACACGACAAUCUAGGCCGAGCACAGCCCUCUCUAUCCACAAGGCCUUACGACCUUACACACGGCCUAUAACUGGAAUUUCUAACUGAUCCACAACACGGGCGUAUUAAUAUACUCCCUCAGAACACAGGGUCCCAUUUAACUUUUGACUCAAGAGGCACAUAAGCAUGCACCUUGCCUUCCACUGCAGGCAUACUCCAG